RNAcentral lists this long non-coding RNA (963 nucleotides) under Nicotiana tabacum (common tobacco). RNAcentral's name for it is "long non-coding RNA (NTAB_LNC008046)". Lineage: Eukaryota; Viridiplantae; Streptophyta; Magnoliopsida; Solanales; Solanaceae. The record is from RNAcentral.
CUAAACUGAACUUUUCCCUUCAGUCAACAUUAGGGUUUUAAACCCUAAACUGAACUCUUUCCUUUAGUCAGCAUUAGGGUUUUAAACCCUAAACAGAAUUUUUCCCUUCAGUCAGCAUUAGGGUUUUAAACCCUAAACUGAACUCUUUUCUUCAGUCAGCAUUAGGGUUUUAAACCCUAAACUGAACUUUUUCAUCUCAGUCAGCAUUAGGGUUUUAAACCCUAAAUUGAACUUUUUCCUUUAGUCAGCAUUAGGGGUUUAAACCCUAAACUGAACUCUUUCCUUUAGUCAGCAUUAGGGUUUUAAACCCUAAACUGAACUUUUUCCAUUCAGUCAGCAUUAGGGUUUUAAACCCUAAACUGAACUUUUUCCUUUAAUCAGCAUUAGGGUUUUAAACCCUAAACUGAAAUUUUCCAUUCAGUCAGCAUUAGGGUUUUUAACCCUAAACUGAACUUUUUCCAUUCAGUCAGCAUUAGGGGUUUUAAACCCUAAACUGAACUUUUUUCUUUAAUCAGCAUUAGGUUUUUAAACCCUAUACUGAACUUUUCCAUUCAGUCAGCAUUAGGGUUUUAAACCCUAAACUGAACUCUUUUCUCAGUCAGCAUUAGGGUUUUAAACCCUAAACUGAACUUUUUCCCUUUAGUCAGCAUUAGGGUUUUAAACCCUAAACUGAACUCUUUCCUUCAGUCAACAUUAGGGUUUUACACCCUAAACUGAACUUUUUCCAUUCAGUCAGCAUUAGGGUUUUAAACCCUAAACUGAACUCUUUCCUUUCAGUCAGCAUUAGGGUUUUAAACCCUAAACUGAACUUUUCCUUUAGUCAGCAUUAGGGUUUUAAACCCUAAACUGAACUUUUUCCAUUCAGUCAGCAUUAGGGUUUUAAACCCUAAUCUGAACUUUUUCCUUUAAUCAGCAUUAGAGUUUUAAACCCUAAACUGAAAUUUUCCAUUCAGUCAGCAUUAG